GGGGUGUGCUCAGAGCAGGGUCCCUAAAGAAUAGCCCCUCUGUUUACAACACAACCAGUAGGAACUUGGGUUUACUCCUCAUAGGUGGCAAGAUACUUUGGCCUUUCUGUGACAUCAUGCCCCAUACAU
RNAcentral lists this small nucleolar RNA (129 nucleotides) under Suricata suricatta (meerkat). RNAcentral's name for it is "Small nucleolar RNA SNORA11 (ENSSSUG00005020187.1)". It matches the Rfam family "Small nucleolar RNA SNORA11". Rfam says of the family: U107 (SNORA11) is a member of the H/ACA class of snoRNAs that guide the sites of modification of uridines to pseudouridines. This snoRNA was identified by RT-PCR from blood cells and its expression confirmed by Northern blot analysis. Lineage: Eukaryota; Metazoa; Chordata; Mammalia; Carnivora; Herpestidae. The record is from Rfam by way of RNAcentral.